GAUGAACGCUGGCGGCGUGCUUAACACAUGCAAGUCGAACGUGAGGGUGCAGCGAUGUGCCUGAAAGUGGCGAACGGGUGAGUAACACGUAGAUGACCUGCCCUGGAGUGGGGGAUAACCAUUGGAAACGGUGGCUAACACCGCAUACAUCCGGAGAACUGGGAAGUUUUCUGGGGAAAGCUCUGGUGCUUCAGGAGGGGUCUGCGUCCGAUUAGCUAGUUGGUGGGGUAAAGGCUCACCAAGGCGACGAUCGGUAGCUGGUCUGAGAGGACGAUCAGCCACACGGGAACUGAGACACGGUCCCGACUCCUACGGGGGGCAGCAGUGAGGAAUAUUGGGCAAUGGGCGGAAGCCUGACCCAGCAACGCCGCGUGGAGGAAGACGGCCUUC
This 390-nucleotide ribosomal RNA is filed under the name uncultured bacterium. RNAcentral describes it as "bacterial SSU rRNA". It matches the Rfam family "Bacterial small subunit ribosomal RNA", at positions 28 to 419 of the family's 1533-position model. The record is from RNAcentral.